GAUGAAGAACGUAGCGAAAUGCGAUAAGUAAUGUGAAUUGCAGAAUUCAGUGAAUCAUCGAAUCUUUGAACGCACAUUGCGCCCGCUAGUAUUCUGGCGGGCAUGCCUGUCCGAGCGUCAUUUCAACCCACAAGCCCCCGGGCUUGGUGUUGGGGAUCGGCGAGCCUCCGCGCCCGCCGUCCCCUAAAUCUAGUGGCGGUCUCGCUGUAGCUUCCUCUGCGUAGUAGCACACCUCGCACUGGGAAACAGCGCGGCCACGCCGUUAAACCCCCAACUUCUGAACGUUUGACCUCGGAUCAGGUAGGAAUACCCGCUGAACUUAAGCAUAUCAAUAAGCGGAGGA
This 343-nucleotide unclassified non-coding RNA is filed under the name soil metagenome. RNAcentral describes it as "partial contains 5.8S ribosomal RNA, internal transcribed spacer 2, and large subunit ribosomal RNA". The stretch from base 1 to 120 matches the Rfam family "5.8S ribosomal RNA", at positions 35 to 154 of the family's 154-position model. The record is from RNAcentral.